RNAcentral lists this transfer RNA (73 nucleotides) under Myotis brandtii (Brandt's bat). It matches the Rfam family "tRNA". Rfam says of the family: Transfer RNA (tRNA) molecules are approximately 80 nucleotides in length. Their secondary structure includes four short double-helical elements and three loops (D, anti-codon, and T loops). Lineage: Eukaryota; Metazoa; Chordata; Mammalia; Chiroptera; Vespertilionidae. The record is from Rfam by way of RNAcentral.
GCUGGUGUAGUUCAGUGGAUAGAGCGUCUGCCUGCAGACCAAAGGGGCCCGGGUUCGAUUCCGGUCAAAAGCA